RNAcentral lists this unclassified non-coding RNA (264 nucleotides) under plant metagenome. RNAcentral's name for it is "partial contains small subunit ribosomal RNA, internal transcribed spacer 1, and 5.8S ribosomal RNA". The record is from RNAcentral.
UUUCCAUAGGUGAACCUGCGGAAGGAUCAUUACCGAAUUGUCAACAAGAGUUGUUGCUGGUCCUCAAAUGGGGGCAUGUGCACGCUCUGUUCACACAUCCACUCACACCCUGUGCACCCUCUGUGGUUCUAUGGUCAGGGGGCCUGUGCCCUCCUGCUGUGGUUCUGCAUCUUUACACACACACACUGUAACAAAGUCUCAUGGAAUGUAUGCCGCGUUUAACGCAAUAUAAUACAACUUUCAGCAACGGAUCUCUUGGCUCUC